UAUUAAAAAAUUCAUUCAUUUGCACUGAUAAAAACUAGCUAGAUAAUGACACAUGGCGUGUCAUGUGUACCUCAUGCUGGUGUAUAUGGACCAGUUUUUAACCGUAGAAAUGCAUGAAAUUCUUAACA
Molecule: non-coding RNA, 128 nt
Organism: Gossypium hirsutum (cotton)
Lineage: Eukaryota; Viridiplantae; Streptophyta; Magnoliopsida; Malvales; Malvaceae
Source: Rfam